Molecule: non-coding RNA, 255 nt
Organism: Pelobates cultripes (western spadefoot toad)
Lineage: Eukaryota; Metazoa; Chordata; Amphibia; Anura; Pelobatidae
Source: the annotation of a GenBank genome assembly
UAUAUUAAAAGCAUUAUGUAAAUACUUGGCAUUAGCCAGAAUAGUAUAUCAUAUUUUCCUUAAACUAGUUUGUAAGAGUGCAAAUGCUUGCCAGGCACAUUGAAACAUUGGCACGCUAGUCCCUCUAAAUAACAACUCUCUACUUAAUUACGACAAGAGCUAUAACAGAUAGCAGUUAGAAUAACAGGAACUGUCAACACUUAUGCCGAAUAAUCAGUAAUGCUUCUAAAAAGGUUCCUAAUAUCAGUGGUGAAA